RNAcentral lists this ribosomal RNA (304 nucleotides) under uncultured bacterium. RNAcentral describes it as "bacterial SSU rRNA". It matches the Rfam family "Bacterial small subunit ribosomal RNA", at positions 28 to 334 of the family's 1533-position model. The record is from RNAcentral.
GACGAACGCUGGCGGCGUGCUUCAUACAUGCAAGUCGAACGAGAAGCAAGAGCUUGCUCUUGUGGAAAGUGGCGGACGGGUGAGUAACACGUAGGAAAUCUGCCCUUUAGCGGGGGACAACAGUUGGAAACGACUGCUAAUACCCCAUAUGAGCUAUGCUGAAAUGCAUAUCUUGAAAACUCCGGUGCUAAAGGAUGAGCCUGCGCCUGAUUAGCUAGUUGGCGGUGUAAUUGACCACCAAGGCGAUGAUCAGUAGCUGGUUUGAGAGGAUGAUCAGCCACAAUGGGACUGAGACACGGCCCAU